GGACGAACGCUGGCGGCGUGCCUAACACAUGCAAGUCGAGCGGGGAGGAGAAAGCUUGCUUUCGAAUCCUAGCGGCGGACGGGUGAGUAACGCGUGAGCAACCUGCCUCAAACAGGGGGGAUAACGCAUCGAAAGAUGUGCUAAUACCGCAUAACAUGUACGGAUCGCAUGGUCUGUACAUCAAAGCUUUAUGUGCUGAAAGAUGGCCUCGCGUCUGAUUAGCUAGUUGGUGAGGUAACGGCUCACCAAGGCGACGAUCAGUAGCCGGUCUGAGAGGAUGAACGGCCACAUUGGGACUGAGAUACGGCCCAGACUCCUACGGGAGGCAGCAGUGGGGAAUAUUGGGCAAUGGGGGAAACCCUGACCCAGCAACGCCGCGUGAAGGAAGAAGGCCUUCGGGUUGUAAACUUCUUUUAGCAGGGACGAAGGACGUGACGGUACCUGCAGAAAAGCAACGGCUAACUACGUG
Molecule: ribosomal RNA, 469 nt
Filed under: uncultured bacterium
Lineage: Bacteria
Description: bacterial SSU rRNA
Rfam family: Bacterial small subunit ribosomal RNA
Source: RNAcentral